CCUACGGGAGGCAGCAGUGAGGGAUAUUGGUCAAUGGCCGUAAGGCUGAACCAGCCAAGUAGCGUGAGGGAAGACUGCCCUAUGGGUUGUAAACCUCUUUUAUGCGGGGAUAAAGGUGUCCACGUGUGGAGGUUUGCAGGUACCGCAUGAAUAAGGACCGGCUAAUUCCGUGCCAGCAGCCGCGGUAAUACGGAGGAUCCGAGCGUUAUCCGGAUUUAGUGGGUUUAAAGGGAGGGUAGAUGGGGUGUUAAGUCAGUUGUGAAAGUUUGGGGCUCAACCGUAAGAUUGCAGUUGAUACUGGCAGUCUUGAGUACAGUUGAGGUAGGCGGAAUUCGUGGUGUAGCGGUGAAAUGCUUAGAUAUCACGAAGAACCCCGAUUGCGAAGGCAGCUUACUAAACUGUGACUGACACUGAGGCUCGAAAGUGUGGGUAUCAAACAGGAUUAGAUACCCUAGUAGUC
This 460-nucleotide ribosomal RNA is filed under the name uncultured bacterium. RNAcentral's name for it is "partial 16S ribosomal RNA". It matches the Rfam family "Bacterial small subunit ribosomal RNA", at positions 338 to 795 of the family's 1533-position model. The record is from RNAcentral.